Molecule: ribosomal RNA, 510 nt
Filed under: uncultured bacterium
Lineage: Bacteria
Description: bacterial SSU rRNA
Rfam family: Bacterial small subunit ribosomal RNA
Source: RNAcentral
GAUCAUGGCUCAGGAUGAACGCUAGCGGCAGGCUUAACACAUGCAAGUCGAGGGGCAACGCGAGUAGCAAUACUUGGCGGCGACCGGCGCAAGGGUGCGUAACGCGUGAGCAACAUGCCCGUAUCAGGGGGAUAAUCCAGGGAAACUUGGUCUAAUACCCCAUAGUAAUUUUGUAAGGCAUCUUAUAAGAUUUAAAGCUUUGGUGGAUACGGAUUGGCUCGCGUGACAUUAGCUGGAUGGUAAGGUAACGGCUUACCAUGGCUAUGAUGUCUAGGGGUUCUGAGAGGAAGGUCCCCCACACUGGAACUGAGACACGGUCCAGACUCCUACGGGAGGCAGCAGUGAGGAAUAUUGGACAAUGGAUGGAAAUCUGAUCCAGCCAUGCCGCGUGAAAAGGAAGAAGGUCCUAUGGAUUGUAAACUUCUUUUGUAUGGGAGCAAUAAGGCCUACGAGUAGGUUGAUGAGAGUACCAUACGAAUAAGCACCGGCUAACUCCGUGCCAGCCGCGGC